GAUGAACGCUGGCGGCGCGCCUAAUACAUGCCAGUCGAGCGAACAGACGAGGAGCUUGCUCCUCUGACGUUAGCGGCGGACGGGUGAGUAACACGUGGAUAACCUACCUAUAAGACUGGGAUAACUUCGGGAAACCGGAGCUAAUACCGGAUAAUAUAUUGAACCGCAUGGUUCAAUAGUGAAAGACGGUUUUGCUGUCACUUAUAGAUGGAUCCGCGCCGCAUUAGCUAGUUGGUAAGGUAACGGCUUACCAAGGCAACGAGGGGUAGCCGACCUGAGAGGGGGAUCGGCCACACUGGAACUGAGACACGGUCCAGACGCCUACGGGAGGCAGCAGUAGGGAAUCGUCCGCAAUGGGCGAAAGCCUGACGGAGCAACGCCGCGUGAGUGAUGAAGGUCUUCGGAUCGUAAAACUCUGUUAUUAGUGAAGAACAAAUGUGUAAGUAACUAUGCACGUCUUGACGGUACCUGAUCAGAAAGCCACGGCUAACUACGUG
This 497-nucleotide ribosomal RNA is filed under the name uncultured bacterium. RNAcentral describes it as "partial 16S ribosomal RNA". It matches the Rfam family "Bacterial small subunit ribosomal RNA", at positions 28 to 507 of the family's 1533-position model. The record is from RNAcentral.